This 467-nucleotide ribosomal RNA is filed under the name uncultured bacterium. RNAcentral describes it as "partial 16S ribosomal RNA". It matches the Rfam family "Bacterial small subunit ribosomal RNA", at positions 29 to 507 of the family's 1533-position model. The record is from RNAcentral.
ACGCACGCUGGCGGCGUGCUUCACCCCUUCCAGUCGCACGGAAAGGCCCUGCUUUUGUGGGGUGCUCGAGUGGCGAACGGGUGAGUAACACGUGAGUAACCUGCCCUUGACUUUGGGAUAACUUCAGGAAACUGGGGCUAAUACCGGAUAUGAGCUCCUGCUGCAUGGUGGGGGUUGGAAAGUUUCGGCGGUUGGGGAUGGACGCGCGGCUUAUCAGCUUGUUGGUGGGGUAGUGGCUUACCAAGGCUUUGACGGGUAGCCGGCCUGAGAGGGUGACCGGCCACAUGGGGACUGAGAUACGGCCCAGACUCCUACGGGAGGCAGCAGUGGGGAAUAUUGCACAAUGGGCGGAAGCCUGAUGCAGCAACGCCGCGUGCGGGAUGACGGCCUUCGGGUGGUAAACCGCUUUCGCCGGUGACGAAGCGUGAGUGACGGUAAUGGGUAAAGAAGCACCGGCUAACUACGUG